UUUCUCACCGCACGGGGACGCUGAGAAGGGCGGAAACCCUGAGGGUCCGUUUCCCAUUUUCUGUUACUUGGGAACUCUGAUGAUCCUUGGCAUGUGAUUCCAAAUGAGUUCACUCCGGCGGCUUCAUUUCCGCCGUGUUCCGUCGAAAGCCGUCAUCAUUUUCGGGUCCCUCUUCCAUAAACCUCUCGCAUCAACACCCUCCUAUUCUUCUCUUUCUUCCUCAGAGGAACCACCUCUUCAGUCCGAUUCCACAAAGCUCAUUCUCGCAGAUGAAGAACUCACACAGAUCAACCUCCUCAUUCCUCGCCUCUGCGACUCAAGCCAACUCGCCACAGCUGUUAACCUCACCACCACCGCCCUCUUAGCAAAUCCGCCUCUCAAAUCCCUUUCCCUCUCCGUCUUCAUCGAUUCUCUUGCUUCCCAACCUGAUAUGACCCACGCCAUGUCCCUUCUCACGCGCCUUAAGUUUACUCCAACUUCAUACCCAUAUAUUAGACCCAUCAUCAUUAUGCUCGUCACUUCGUAUUUUAACAAGUACAAGUACAAAGAAGCCCUCAAAGUGUUUAAUUGGAUGGAGAGGCCUGACUCCCCGUGCUCGCCAGAUGAGAAAAUUUACGGGAUCUUCAUUCAUGGGAUUUGUAAAAAUGGCCUCGUUCUUGAGGGUCUGAAGGUUUUAAGGGCUAUGGUGGGUGCCAACAUGGUGCCUAAUUGCGAUUUGAAGGAGUGCGUAUAUCGCGGAUUGCUGAAGCAGGCUCGGAUAAACGAAGCAAAGGAACUGAAUGAUGCUUUUGGUUGUGUAAAUGGUGAAGGUAUGAAGAAGAUUUUGCUGUUGUUGGAACGCCUGAUUGUUCAAUGGAAAGACUAGAACAAAGACAAGAGAAGAGGUUAAUUACAAACUUGAGUUAUGGAGGAGGACAUUGGAGUCGAAAGGUUUCCAUCUGAGUAGGAGUAAGACGGAAUAUUUAUAUUGUAAAUUUGGUGGAUCAACUACAAGUAUUCUCGACACAGAAUAGAGAAAGACUCUAGUUGAGGGAGGGUGCAAUGUAUUGAAAAUAUACGAGGCGAAUUCUACAGUAACUAUUGUUUGUGAUACACAAAAUGAGGAGGCAUGGAAAUUGAGAAUGUUGCUUUAUGAAAUACACAAGCAGGAAAGAAGCAAGGUUAAUAUUCUAAAACUCCACCAGCACUACCCAAUAAUGCGUGCAAAAAGGGACUCUUCAAGGGAGAUGAUGUAAUAUUUGUAAAAAAAUUAUUUAGCAGAUGAUGAACGAUAGUAUAAAUGAUUAAGAAAAUAGAGAGUUGCCCAUUGGGGGAGGGAGGAGCACAGUGAAAGCGCACUAAGGAGGUGAUGGCAAAAUGAAAGGAACCUCACCACAACGAUUGACAAGGGAGAAUAAUGAGUGUGGGCAAAGUGGAAGCAACGCUAUUCUUGUACUCCUUAUAUUAUUUUUAAUUUUCUUACAAUUAUCUUCUAAGCCAGGUGUUGCACAACAGGUGAUUAAAUGAAUAUCUCUCGAGGCCAAAUGUCAUGAAAACUGUAGGUCAUGAUAUUAUAGCAUUGUCCUCCAAAUAUCAUGUUUAAUUUUAUUUCUCAUUUUGACUCCUCUAGUUUUCAUGGUUGACACUUCAUUCACUAUGCAUAACGUAAAUCAUGUAUCUUAAAGGUUUUAUAUUUAAUUAUUCAUGCUC
RNA transcript from Prosopis cineraria, 1689 nucleotides. It is a transcript of the gene named pentatricopeptide repeat-containing protein At4g11690-like, with no coding region annotated. The transcript is spliced from 3 exons. The record is from RefSeq and is a predicted model, not a curated record. NCBI's taxonomy places the organism in Eukaryota, Viridiplantae, Streptophyta, Magnoliopsida, Fabales, Fabaceae.